This 338-nucleotide long non-coding RNA is filed under the name Chinchilla lanigera (long-tailed chinchilla). Its description in RNAcentral is "lncRNA (ENSCLAG00000027320.1)". The record is from RNAcentral. Lineage: Eukaryota; Metazoa; Chordata; Mammalia; Rodentia; Chinchillidae.
CCAGAAACUAAAGUAUACUGGCUGGACAGGGGGAAUUUUCUGCUAUAGUUCCACAGUAGUGCUGCUAUGGUUUACUUCUAAAACAUCCUCAGAAGUCUCAAGUGUUUGGAAGGAAAGGUGUUCCAAGGACAACAUGGAAUGCAACUUCUCCCUACAUUCAGAGCUGCCACGCUAAAGGUAAACACAAGGGGAGCAAGUUCUGAGGAGAACAUCACUGGCUACACACUACCAGGGAUACAGACUUCACAGAACUAUUUCAGCCACGUCACAAAACAAAUAGCCAAUCAAGCAAAUGGUAAGUAAUGGUAAACCUCUGACAGAUCAGAGUCUUAAACCAC